UGGCCCUAAAGAAGGACAUAAACUCUGGAGCUAGACUGCUCGGCUUCAGAUCCCAGCUCUGCCUCUUGCUAGCUGUGGAUCUUUGGGAGAGUCAG
This 95-nucleotide microRNA precursor is filed under the name Mustela putorius furo (domestic ferret). RNAcentral describes it as "miRNA (ENSMPUG00000021924.1)". Lineage: Eukaryota; Metazoa; Chordata; Mammalia; Carnivora; Mustelidae. The record is from RNAcentral.